GAACGACGAUCGAUGGAUCUCGAGACAGAAGCCAACAAAGCUGGUACUGACGAGGGCAUGCAGGUUUGUUUAUGGUGGUCAAGCGCAGUUUUUUAAUGGUGAGACCCGUUCGGAACCAAGGCAUUGAAACAAUGGUGUUGCUGAUAGUGUUGGUGAGAAUUGCGACGCCUCACAGUUCCUAGCGGGAUGGCAUCGACCAACUUUGCGGAUAAUAAUUGACUUUCUCUGCUUUUCCUGGAUGUAUGGGAGGAUGAUAAUAAUUGAUUUAUCUUCAAUGAUUUUAUCUCUUUGUUC
This is a long non-coding RNA of Lolium rigidum, 294 nucleotides long. RefSeq lists it as uncharacterized. The transcript is spliced from 3 exons. The record is from RefSeq and is a predicted model, not a curated record. NCBI's taxonomy places the organism in Eukaryota, Viridiplantae, Streptophyta, Magnoliopsida, Poales, Poaceae.